AGCCAUGCGAGUCAUUGUAGCAAUACAAGGCAGACGGCUCAGUAACGCGUAGUCAAUCUACCCUAUGGACGGGAAUAACCUCGGGAAACUGAGAAUAAUGCCCGAUAGAACAUUAUGCCUGGAAUGGUUUAUGUUUCAAAUGAUUUAUCGCCAUAGGAUGGGACUGCGGCCUAUCAGUUUGUUGGUGAGGUAAUGGCCCACCAAGACUAUUACAGGUACGGGCUCUGAGAGGAGUGGCCCGGAGAUGGGUACUGAGACACGGACCCAGGCCCUAUGGGGCGCAGCAGGCGAGAAAACUUUGCAAUGUGCGAAAGCACGACAAGGUUAAUCCGAGUGAUUUCUGCUAAAGAAAUCCUUUGCUAGUCCUAGAAACACUAGUGAAUAAGGGGUGGGCAAGUUCUGGUGUCAGCCGCCGCGGUAAAACCAGCACCUCAAGUAGUCAGGACGAUUAUUGGGCCUAAAGCAUCCGUAGCUCGUUUUGUAAGUUUUCGGUUAAAUCCAUACGCUUAACGUAUGGGCUGCCGGGAAUACUGCAUAACUAGGAAGUGGGAGAGGUAGACGGUACUCGGUAGGAAGGGGUAAAAUCCUUUGAUCUAUUGAUGACCACCUGUGGCGAAGGCGGUCUACCAGAACACGUUCGACGGUGAGGGAUGAAAGCUGGGGGAGCAAACCGGAUUAGAUACCCGGGUAGCCCCAGCUGUAAACUAUGCAAACUCAGUGAUGCAUUGGCUUGUGGCCAAUGCAGUGCUGCAGGGAAGCCGUUAAG
Molecule: ribosomal RNA, 766 nt
Filed under: uncultured bacterium
Lineage: Bacteria
Description: bacterial SSU rRNA
Rfam family: Archaeal small subunit ribosomal RNA
Source: RNAcentral